This 153-nucleotide non-coding RNA is filed under the name Nocardioides sp. RNAcentral's name for it is "SAM-I sequence". It matches the Rfam family "SAM riboswitch aptamer (S box leader)". Rfam says of the family: The SAM riboswitch is found upstream of a number of genes which code for proteins involved in methionine or cysteine biosynthesis in Gram-positive bacteria. Lineage: Bacteria; Bacillati; Actinomycetota; Actinomycetes; Propionibacteriales; Nocardioidaceae. The record is from RNAcentral.
AGCUCAUCGAGAGGGACUGAGGGAACGGCCCAGUGAAGUCCCGGCAACCGCCACGAGCCCCCUGCUCCGCCCACCAGAAACCCGGGCGGGACCAGUCGUGGAAACGGUGCUAAUUCCGGCCCACGGCGAGAUACGACGCGGGGAAGAUGAGAA